This 395-nucleotide unclassified non-coding RNA is filed under the name fungal sp. RNAcentral describes it as "partial internal transcribed spacer region". The stretch from base 1 to 46 matches the Rfam family "Eukaryotic small subunit ribosomal RNA", at positions 1786 to 1831 of the family's 1831-position model. The record is from RNAcentral. Lineage: Eukaryota; Fungi.
AAGUCGUAACAAGGUUUCCGUAGGUGAACCUGCGGAAGGAUCAUUAACACGUAUCCACGUAUCAACCAACCGCGAACUUGUUUCUCUCCCUUCUAUGCACAUGAACUGGAAUUCUACGAGGUUUUGAGUGGGGCUCUCGGGCCAGCCUCGUAGAACUACUGGCUUAGCGCUUCAUUGCGCGGCUGACAGUUGGAGUGUAUCGGAGGCAAUUCUUCUGCUAGUCAGGUCUCCAUUCAAGACUCGACUAGUGGGAAUCACACUAACUUAUUUAACCCCCUUUUUGCUAGUUGACUUUAUUAUGUUGUGAUCAGUGAGGAUUAUUCCAAUCUAAUCGCACACGUUUAAUUAUUUGAACGUUAAAGAAACAACUCUUAGCAAUGGAUAUCUUGGUUCUC